Molecule: transfer RNA, 122 nt
Filed under: Canis lupus familiaris (dog)
Lineage: Eukaryota; Metazoa; Chordata; Mammalia; Carnivora; Canidae
Also listed under: 1 other name
Rfam family: tRNA
About the family: Transfer RNA (tRNA) molecules are approximately 80 nucleotides in length.
Source: Rfam by way of RNAcentral
GCCUGGGUAGCUCAGUGGUUGAGCACCUGCCUUUGGCUCAGGUCAAAGGCAGGCCCCAUAAUGGGGGCCCAUCAUGGCCCCCAUGAUCUUGGGUAUCCUGGGAUCGAGUCCCACAUCAGGCU